AAGUUAGCUCCCCAAUGGUAUCCU
RNAcentral lists this non-coding RNA (24 nucleotides) under Arabidopsis thaliana (thale cress). Lineage: Eukaryota; Viridiplantae; Streptophyta; Magnoliopsida; Brassicales; Brassicaceae. The record is from RNAcentral.